This 611-nucleotide ribosomal RNA is filed under the name Salmonella enterica subsp. houtenae. RNAcentral's name for it is "partial 23S ribosomal RNA". It matches the Rfam family "Bacterial large subunit ribosomal RNA", at positions 691 to 1298 of the family's 2925-position model. Lineage: Bacteria; Pseudomonadati; Pseudomonadota; Gammaproteobacteria; Enterobacterales; Enterobacteriaceae. The record is from RNAcentral.
GGCGUUAAGUUGCAGGGUAUAGACCCGAAACCCGGUGAUCUAGCCAUGGGCAGGUUGAAGGUUGGGUAACACUAACUGGAGGACCGAACCGACUAAUGUUGAAAAAUUAGCGGAUGACCUGUGGCUGGGGGUGAAAGGCCAAUCAAACCGGGAGAUAGCUGGUUCUCCCCGAAAGCUAUUUAGGUAGCGCCUCGUGAAUUCAUCUCCGGGGGUAGAGCACUGUUUCGGCCAGGGGGCCAUCCCGGCUUACCAAUCCGAUGCAAACUGCGAAUACCGGAGAAUGUUAUCACGGGAGACACACGGCGGGUGCUAACGUCCGUCGUGAAGAGGGAAACAACCCAGACCGCCAGCUAAGGUCCCAAAGUCAUGGUUAAGUGGGAAACGAUGUGGGAAGGCCCAGACAGCCAGGAUGUUGGCUUAGAAGCAGCCAUCAUUUAAAGAAAGCGUAAUAGCUCACUGGUCGAGUCGGCCUGCGCGGAAGAUGUAACGGGGCUAAACCAUGCACCGAAGCUGCGGCAACGACACUGAUGUGUUGUUGGGUAGGGGAGCGUUCUGUAAGCCGUUGAAGGUGUGUCGUGAGGCAUGCUGGAGGUAUCAGAAGUGCGAAUGCU